RNAcentral lists this unclassified non-coding RNA (563 nucleotides) under Peromyscus maniculatus bairdii (prairie deer mouse). RNAcentral describes it as "partial maternally expressed gene 3". Lineage: Eukaryota; Metazoa; Chordata; Mammalia; Rodentia; Cricetidae. The record is from RNAcentral.
CCCUGGAAAUGUCUGGAAAACAUAAUGGGCAGGUUUUCUGUCUUCAAAGUUUCCAUCUAAACCUCUUCAAGUUCUUUAUUGUUUGGGACUGAGACACUUGGGGACGGUAAUGGGGACUUUCUUUUGUAUCUGUCUUGAAAGGCCAAAAUAUUUUUAUAUUGCUGUAGACAAAGCCACCUAUUUACAAAUGAACUCUGUUCUGUCGUUUCCCACUGGGAAGACUGUACCAUGUUUGUGUCUCUAUGUAUUCUGGGGUCUUGAAACAGGUUUCUCAUGGGGAUGGCCAUUCACUGGGGCCCAGAGGGGCAGUCUGCCCUGCCAAGAGGGUCUGGGGAAGGGGGGGGGGCUAGUCUUGGAUCUGCCCCUGGUAUGUCUAGGGGUGAGCCCUGGGAGAAUCUGGUGGCGAAAGAACAUAUGCUGUGUUUGCUCCACAUCUUCCAUUUGUGUUUGUUUCUGGGCUGCGGGUUUGCAUACUCGGGUGGGUGACUCGGUGGGAGAAGUAGGAGGGGCCAGGAGGGCACGGACGCUCUGGUUUUCUUGUCUGGAGGCUGUUUCACUGGUGU